AGUGAUCUGUUUAAUGCCGGUCAUAAAACGAUGAUUCAUUUAAGGAUACCACGUCAUAUAAAGCCAGAGACUGAAAAUAUAAUAACUCAUGUUUUAAGAGCACUAAAACAGAAAUACCCGGAUGUGAAUAAUAAAGGUACAAAACAGGCAUGGAAUAAUAAAAAGGUGAUGCGAAUUUUGAAGAAGAAGUUACAAUUGUAUUUGAGGAACGUAAAAAACCGAGGGAACUAGCAAAUAAACUUUUCUUUUAUUUAA
Long non-coding RNA from Pararge aegeria (speckled wood butterfly), 255 nucleotides. RefSeq lists it as uncharacterized. The record is from RefSeq and is a predicted model, not a curated record. Lineage: Eukaryota; Metazoa; Arthropoda; Insecta; Lepidoptera; Nymphalidae. The transcript has 2 exons.